RNAcentral lists this ribosomal RNA (492 nucleotides) under uncultured bacterium. Its description in RNAcentral is "partial 16S ribosomal RNA". It matches the Rfam family "Bacterial small subunit ribosomal RNA", at positions 29 to 507 of the family's 1533-position model. The record is from RNAcentral.
AGUGAACGCUGGCGGUAGGCCUAACACAUGCAAGUCGAACGGCAGCACAGUAAGAGCUUGCUCUUACGGGUGGCGAGUGGCGGACGGGUGAGGAAUACAUCGGAAUCUACUUUUUCGUGGGGGAUAACGUAGGGAAACUUACGCUAAUACCGCAUACGACCUACGGGUGAAUGCAGGGGAUCUUCGGACCUUGCGCGACUGAAUGAGCCGAUGUCGGAUUAGCUAGUUGGCGGGGUAAAGGCACACCAAGGCGACGAUCCGUAGCUGAUCUGAGAGGAUGAUCAGCCACACUGGAACUGAGACACGGUCCAGACUCCUACGGGAGGCAGCAGUAGGGAAUAUUGGACAAUGGGCGCAAGCCUGAUCCAGCCAUACCGCGUGGGUGAAGAAGGCCUUCGGGUUGUAAAACCCUUUUGUUGGGGAAGAAAAGCAGCAGGUUAAAACCCCGCUGUUCUGACGGUACCCAAAGAAUAAGCACCGGCUAACUUCGUG